RNAcentral lists this ribosomal RNA (394 nucleotides) under Kosakonia cowanii. Its description in RNAcentral is "bacterial SSU rRNA". It matches the Rfam family "Bacterial small subunit ribosomal RNA", at positions 391 to 777 of the family's 1533-position model. The record is from RNAcentral. Lineage: Bacteria; Pseudomonadati; Pseudomonadota; Gammaproteobacteria; Enterobacterales; Enterobacteriaceae.
GCCAUGCCGCGUGUAUGAAGAAGGCCUUCGGGUUGUAAAGUACUUUCAGCGGGGAGGAAGGCGAUGCGGUUAAUAACCGCGUCGAUUGACGUUACCCGCAGAAGAAGCACCGGCUAACUCCGUGCCAGCAGCCGCGGUAAUACGGAGGGUGCAAGCGUUAAUCGGAAUUACUGGGCGUAAAGCGCACGCAGGCGGUCUGUCAAGUCGGAUGUGAAAUCCCCGGGCUCAACCUGGGAACUGCAUCCGAAACUGGCAGGCUUGAGUCUCGUAGAGGGGGGUAGAAUUCCAGGUGUAGCGGUGAAAUGCGUAGAGAUCUGGAGGAAUACCGGUGGCGAAGGCGGCCCCCUGGACGAAGACUGACGCUCAGGUGCGAAAGCGUGGGGAGCAAACAGGA